CAUUAAAACCAUCACAAAAGUUGUUAUUCAGAGCUCUGAGUAACAACUUUUGUGAUGGUUUUAAUGUGUUUUAAAACACAUUAAAAGCAACCUUCAUGUUAGCUUACUCUGCUAUGUCCAAAGAAAUACUUAACAUCCUUUUGUUUCACAUUUCUGGCUUGCCUCAGAAAUACUGAGGAUAGCUAGCACACUCUAUACAAGUAAAAGCAAUGUGUUGAAAUGAGCCUGACUAUUAUAAAGAUAGAUCCUUCUCAAUAGAUUUUAGUCAACUGGAAAAUGGAAGUACCCAUUUUUCAAAAUAGGAUGUAUGAACAUGACAAUUCAAUAGAUCUGCUGUUCAGUAUUGUUUCUUAUUCUAUUUACUUAAGAAAAAAAACCCUACACUUCUGCUGAAAAACCAAGCCAGCAAGUAAUUUUGCCCUGAAAGGUAGAGGUUAUACUGCCUGCAUUUCGUGAACUGCAGAAAAAUACUUCUCCAUUAACAUGAUGAUUAAUGCCAAGUAUUCCUAACCAGCUAGCUUAAUAAGCUUUCACUCCACCUCCAACCAAGAUGAACACCAUUUAAACAAGAAUCCUGAUUCCCUUAACAACGAUGAAGAAAAGCAGGCCUGUGAAUAUAUAAAUAAUAUUUUGCCCACCUGGAAGGUUAGACCACAUACAGCAACACCUGCAUUUUAGUAGACGACCAGGCAUUUCCUGCCUGAAACACAAGCCUGAAAAACACUUACAGGCUCUUUAAAAACAUUAACAAGAACAACCUUCUACUGCAAUGUAAAAGCUGGAAGGUUGUUCUUCUAUAAAAAAAAAUUAACUAAGCACACCAUCUAUGAUCUUUAAGCUAAAUACUUAGCUGCAUUUGACAAGCAAUAGCACAGACAGUCCCUUUUUCAAAAAGGAGUUCCCAUCGUGGUUUACACCACCAGCUCAAGCCUCAACAGGUUCAAGUGACUCGGACAAGUACAACCACAUUCAGCAGGGUAGGGCAAGAGAGAAAACCUCACUGCAGACAUGCUGGGGCUCUUCGAACGCAAACCACCAAAUUCGGCAUUCUGAAUAGUAGCUGUAAACCAAAGCAAAAAACUGUUAUGUCAGACAACACAGUAAACACUUAUCAUACAUCUAGAAAGAAACAGUAAUACAUGAAAUGUCAGAGUGGCCUUCAAAAAUUGCUCAUAACCCAUAGCGCCACAAUAAUCAAAUGAGAAAGGGGUAGAAUAAGGACAAAUACUACUAGAUGUCCAUCCAGAAGAGGAAUACUGCGCAGAAACAGCACUCCUUAAUGUCUGAAAAUCCAAUAGCACAGCGACAUCCAGCAGACCCUCGAUCUUGCAAGAUUAAGACUACAGCUGAGCAGAACUAAACAGCGACCAUUAGACUUUAGUAUCAUUUUCACUGUUUCUUCUGUUCACCUUCUACUAGUUGGAUUCCUUUCAAACUUUGAAAAUCAGCUUGAUGCUACUUUAAAAAACAACACUACACUAUCUUGUUACAACAAAAUGGAGACGCAGAAGAGACUAUUAAGUAUGCCAGAGCUGCACAUUAGCACACACACCACAAAGAGAAAAUAUAGAUUAAGAAAGCAUGGCUUGCAGAACAAAAGAAAAACCUUAUUCCCUCCAAUAUUUUGUUAUCUGAGGAUCUGGGUACCCUAAACCAGAACCUGCAAGUUCUCCAAUCUCUUCUCUUUUUCUCCUCUGCUUGAAGAAAUUCAGAUAACCUGACUAGUGGCAAGAUCGGUGUCCAUCUAUGGCUUUUUGAAUGUAGGCUAGUCAAGUUUUUUUUUUUUAAAAAGAAAAGAUGCCAUUUCCUUGCUAAUAAGCAGGUGAGAUUUACACAGCCAACAUGCAGUUUUAGUUUAAUGUAGUUUUGCUCAAGAGUCUAUUAACAUAAACAAGAGAUAUAGGUCUGCCCUAAAGCUUUUUCUUCCUUCUCCAAGUACAUCUGUUGCCCUAACAAGUUAUUAACCCUCUAUCCUCUUAUAACCACUGGAAAGCAGUCACACUAGCACUCUGUAAGACAUGGCAAUUAUGACGGUUAAAGACUGGAGUUCCAGAAACACCUACCUACCCUCAUAUAGAAGACUGACUGAAAAGAAAGCUACUUAUAAUUUAUCAGACCUGACUCAAACUUGAAACCACAGAGUUAACCCUGUAACCUGAGCCAGAGUAGUCUCAUCCUCAAAGCAGACACAAAACACCUUGUGGAUCCUUCCGAUGGAUAUAUUCUCCUUCCCCUUAAAUAAAAUCCUUGCUGGAAAAAGAA
Numida meleagris (helmeted guineafowl) is the source of this 2262-nucleotide long non-coding RNA. RefSeq lists it as uncharacterized. The record is from RefSeq and is a predicted model, not a curated record. The transcript is spliced from 2 exons. NCBI's taxonomy places the organism in Eukaryota, Metazoa, Chordata, Aves, Galliformes, Numididae.